RNAcentral lists this small RNA (144 nucleotides) under uncultured Eubacterium sp. RNAcentral's name for it is "M-box riboswitch (ykoK leader)". It matches the Rfam family "M-box riboswitch aptamer (ykoK leader)", at positions 11 to 156 of the family's 169-position model. From Rfam's summary of the family: M-box riboswitch, also know as ykoK leader is described as a metaloregulatory RNA that sense divalent metals and function as a genetic control element of genes related to divalent metal transport in bacteria. The record is from RNAcentral. Lineage: Bacteria; Bacillati; Bacillota; Clostridia; Eubacteriales; Eubacteriaceae.
UACCCGAUAAGUGAGGCUACUUAAGGGAUAUGGGCUGCUGCCGCAAAGUGAUGGAGACAUCACACGCAGGUUUAACAGUUGGGGUCGCAUCAAGGCUUCAACCAAUGCAGUUUCACCGCCCUUUUGAGCUAAAGCCCAAACGGA